AUGCAAGUCGAGGGGCAGCACAUGCGUAGCAAUACAAUGGUGGCGACCGGCGCACGGGUGAGUAACACGUAUGCAACCUACCUGUAAGAGGGGAAUAACCCGGAGAAAUCCGGACUAAUACCGCAUAAUACUAAUUUUCUGCAUGGGCGAUUAGUUAAACAUUUAUGGCUUACAGAUGGGCAUGCGUAUGAUUAGUUAGUUGGUGAGGUAACGGCUCACCAAGACAUCGAUCAUUAGGGGUUCUGAGAGGAAGGUCCCCCACACUGGUACUGAGACACGGACCAGACUCCUACGGGAGGCAGCAGUGAGGAAUAUUGGUCAAUGGGCGAGAGCCUGAACCAGCCAAGUCGCGUGAAGGAAGACGGUUCUAUGGAUUGUAAACUUCUUUUGUAAGGGAAUAAAGUGCAGUACGUGUACUGUUUUGUAUGUACUUUACGAAUAAGGAUCGGCUAACUCCGUGCCAGCAGCCGCGGUAAUACGGAGGAUCCAAGCGUUAUCCGGAUUUAUUGGGUUUAAAGGGUGCGUAGGCGGACCCAUAAGUCAGUGGUGAAAGUUUGCAGCUUAACUGUAAAAUUGCCGUUGAAACUGUGGGUCUUGAGUGUAAAUAAAGUAGACGGAAUGUGUUGUGUAGCGGUGAAAUGCUUAGAUAUAACACAGAACACCAAUUGCGAAGGCAGCUUACUGGGAUACAACUGACGCUGAGGCACGAAAGCGUGG
RNAcentral lists this ribosomal RNA (717 nucleotides) under uncultured bacterium. RNAcentral describes it as "bacterial SSU rRNA". It matches the Rfam family "Bacterial small subunit ribosomal RNA", at positions 55 to 764 of the family's 1533-position model. The record is from RNAcentral.